RNAcentral lists this ribosomal RNA (433 nucleotides) under uncultured bacterium. Its description in RNAcentral is "partial 16S ribosomal RNA". It matches the Rfam family "Bacterial small subunit ribosomal RNA", at positions 29 to 507 of the family's 1533-position model. The record is from RNAcentral.
AACGAACGCUGGCGGCAUGCCUAACACAUGCAAGUCGAACGAGACCUUCGGGUCUAGUGGCGCACGGGUGCGUAACGCGUGGGAACCUGCCCUUAGGUUCGGAAUAACUCCCCGAAAGGGGUGCUAAUACCGGAUAAUGUCUUCGGACCAAAGAUUUAUCGCCUGUGGAUGGGCCCGCGUUGGAUUAGCUAGUUGGUAGGGUAAAAGCCUACCAAGGCGACGAUCCAUAGCUGGUCUGAGAGGAUGAUCAGCCACACUGGGACUGAGACACGGCCCAGACUCCUACGGGAGGGAGCAGUAGGGAAUAUUGGGCAAUGGGCGAAAGCCUGAUCCAGCAAUGCCGCGUGAGUGAUGAAGGCCUUAGGGUUGUAAAGCUCUUUUACCCGGGAUGAUAAUGACAGUACCGGGAGAAUAAGCUCCGGCUAACUCCGUG